This is a long non-coding RNA of Galeopterus variegatus (Sunda flying lemur), 458 nucleotides long. RefSeq lists it as uncharacterized. Lineage: Eukaryota; Metazoa; Chordata; Mammalia; Dermoptera; Cynocephalidae. The transcript is spliced from 3 exons. The record is from RefSeq and is a predicted model, not a curated record.
GGAAGACCGGGAGGGAGAGCGCUCGCCCGGGGGACUGGCCUUUGCUCUGUAAACUGGUAAAGGCUGAGCUAGGCGGGCGAGGCCAAGAUGGGAUGAAUCCCCAGCAUUAAAGUUGGGGUGUUGAGAGAUGCUGAUUACAAGCAGCACAAAUACACUUCACAAUGUGAUCUUUGAUAAAUGUCCAAAUGGAUUUUAAAACAAGAAGAUUGAGAAGCAGAGGCCAGUGUAUCUCCAAAACCCUGUAACUGAAUAUCCCAUGCAUGGUUUUUGUACUAACCUUACCUCUGAUUUUAUUUUCCCUACACCUUUUUUCUUUUUGAUUUUUAUGUCUUUAUUUUACCCAUGAUUUUCUAAAUAUUUUUGUAUGUCACUUAAAAUAGUAUGUGUAAUAGAUGUUGUGUUUAUUAAAAUAUAUGAAGUAAUAAAUAAUUUCCCUAACUAUUCUCUUAUUUUUGAAA